Molecule: long non-coding RNA, 463 nt
Organism: Mytilus trossulus (common blue mussel)
Lineage: Eukaryota; Metazoa; Mollusca; Bivalvia; Mytilida; Mytilidae
Exons: 5
Source: RefSeq, a predicted model, not a curated record
AAUAAGUACCAUGUUUUCAAACAGUGACGGAGACUACACAUUUGUUACUCCACGUAAACUAUUAAUAGUUUAUUUAUUCUUUGGAGUAUUUUUAUCAAAUCUUCACCAAAAGAAAGUUUAACUUGAUCAAAUGAGAAUGUGGGAUAGCUGGGAUUUUGAUAUUUUGUAUUAUUCAUUGUGCACAGGGUGGACCUGGGUGUCCAGUGUUUUACAGAGGUAUACGAGAACCAAUUGCAACUUGUCCUGUGUGUGUCGGGAUCUAUCACAAUUGUGACAACAAUGCAGACUGCACAGGAGGUCGACUUUGUUGUCUUAAUCCAAACUGUGGCAGAUCGUGUGAAUUACCAGGUUAAACGACACAGUUAGAUGAUUACAAAGAUAUUCUCGAAUCCUGUAAAAUUAUCAAAAGUUGUUUUUCAGUUCCUUACUUAAUUUACAAUCUAUUAAAAGAUGCUUUCAUCUU